UGGGGAAUAUUGGACAAUGGGCGAAAGCCUGAUCCAGCAACGCCGCGUGGAGGAUGAAGGCCUUCGGGUUGUAAACUCCUGUUAGGGGGAACGAAAGGCCGCGGGUUAACAGCCGGCGGCCCUGACGGUACCUCCAGAGGAAGCCCCGGCUAACUCUGUGCCAGCAGCCGCGGUAAUACAGAGGGGGCGAGCGUUAUUCGGAAUUAUUGGGCGUAAAGGGCGCGUAGGCGGCUUGGUAAGUCAAAGGUGAAAUCCCUCGGCUCAACUGAGGAACUGCCUUUGAAACUGCCCAGCUUGAGGCCGGGAGAGGGUAGUGGAAUUCCCAGUGUAGCGGUGAAAUGCGUAGAUACUGGGAGGAACACCAGUGGCGAAGGCGGCUACCUGGACCGGUUCUGACGCUGAUGCGCGAAAGCGUGGGGAGCAAACAGG
This 429-nucleotide ribosomal RNA is filed under the name uncultured bacterium. RNAcentral's name for it is "bacterial SSU rRNA". It matches the Rfam family "Bacterial small subunit ribosomal RNA", at positions 355 to 776 of the family's 1533-position model. The record is from RNAcentral.